UGCAAAACCCACAAAAGCUUCAAACCGAUCGAAAUUUCACCUUCUACCCUCCUCUGCUCUGCUAACCUCCCUUGUCUCUCUUUCACCAUCUCUACUCCUCUGCGGAGGUCCCCUCUCUCUCGUGUGAAGGUCCCCUCUCUCCCGUGGCCCUCUCAUCUCUCUACGCUGCUGGCCUCACUCUCUCUUCGUUGCUGCCCUCAUGCCGUCUCAUCGCUCGUCCCCUUCUCUCAAGGCCUUUCUCUCUCACCACCUGCUUUAGAGAGAGAAGAAACCUCCUUCAAGAAGAAACCCAACAUGUUUUAGUUUUUUCUAUAUUACGAUUUUGCAUAUCAUUUUUCCUUUUGCCAUUGAUAUAUGGAAUGCGAGCUAUCCAUCUCUCAGCCUGCAUUAAUUCAGUUUGUAUCAUUUUUAAGCUUGGUAUGGAUUUUUUUGUGUGCCAUUUUACCCAAUUUUUUUCUGGUUAGUUCUCUCUCUAUUACGAUUUUGCAUAUCAUUUUCACUUUCACCAUUGAUAUAUGGAACGCGAGCUCUCCAUCUCUGAGCCUGCAUUAAUUCAGUUUGUAUCAUUUUUAGGCUUGGUAUGGAUUUUUUGUUGUGCCCUUUUACCCAAUUUUUUUUUUCUGAAUUCAAUCACAAAAACAGAGGAACAAUGGUUCAGUUGGAUUUUAUUACUUUCUUUUAUCAUUGAUUCUGAAAGAAAACUGAAUUAGAUGAUUAUAAAUGGGUUUCACUGCACAAUUUUUAUUGUUUUGAUCUAUAACUUGAAGAAAUUGCAAUGAAUACCGCUGAAUGCCCUAAUAGAAAAAAUAAUGCAUGACUUUUAAUUGAAAUUUUAAUACAAUUAUUUGGUUUUAUGUCAUGCUUUUGUUCUCUAUUUCACAAUGCAACAUUUUCUUUUAUUUUUUAAAUGAAUUUAGGUUCAGUAUUCAUUUCCCUGAAGUUGAACUUUGAAAUGAAAUCUUAGGGUUUUAUGUUACUUACUUUCUGUUAAUGGUGUGAAUAGGUUCAUGCGAGAUGAGCUUUUGUCUCAAGUAUUGGAAGCACUACCUAUCAUCCGGGGUCUUGUAGUACAGAAAACAAAAUCGAUAAGUGAUUGCAAUCGGUUAUUGAAUGUAUCUCUUGGACUCUCUUCUGCUUGAGAGUAGUGAAAACAAGUGCCAUUUCAUACGAGCCUGCAUUCCGGGUUUGCUGAUCCUUGGAGAAGAAAGAAAGGGACGAAAAUCUCUGUGGGAGGAAAUCCACCAUAGCACAGAACUCUUAAGGCAUUCGGCUACCUAUGAAAGUAUUAUCCAAUCCCAUUAGAGGAGCUCGAGGAGAAAAAUGCAAAUGAUGAUGUACUUGGGGACAUUGGAGAGAGUAGCUCCCGAUCGGAAGAUCAGAUCUCGACACAGCCAUUACUAUGUCAGCGCUAACGGAGGAGGUUGUACGGGCGUACUAUGCUUGUAUCAUGGAUGCCUCAACAUCAGUAUCUCCCUCCUCUCCCCUCAACAUUACUAAUUCAAAAAAUGGGAAUGAGUGUGGUGCUCAGGUUAUACUGGAUGAAGCUUGCCAUGAUUUUCCAUCUGAUGAGGACAUAGUUGCAAUAAAUGGAGAAGGAGAUUCGUUACUUAUAGAUGCUGAGGUAGCCCUAACAAGAGGUGCAAGUAUCGAAUCGGCAAUAGGAAUGGCAUUUACUGACGAAGAUGAAGCUUAUGAUUAUUAUAAUAAGUACGCAAAAUUUGUAGGAUUUGAUAUAAGAAAGGGAAGGAAGUGUAAAGUUUGCAAUAAGAGUGGAUAUGACAAACGUAACUGUCUCGUGAGGGUACAUGGGAUGUGGCGCUACCGAGGACCUCGAGCCGAGUUGAUUAAUUUUUUGAAUAAUUUAUGGGGAAUGUAAAGGAGUUGACUAAUUUUUUGAAUUUUGGAAACUUGUAAAUACCCCUUUUUGUAGUUGACUUUGGGGGUUAAGUGAAUAUUUAAUAUUCAUGUAAUUUUGUGGCCAUGUAAAAGGCCCCUCUAUGGGGCAUCUAAUGAACCUAUUUAGUGACUUUUUGGUAA
This is a non-coding RNA of Amborella trichopoda, 2037 nucleotides long. NCBI's taxonomy places the organism in Eukaryota, Viridiplantae, Streptophyta, Magnoliopsida, Amborellales, Amborellaceae. The record is from RefSeq and is a predicted model, not a curated record.